Molecule: long non-coding RNA, 513 nt
Organism: Mya arenaria
Lineage: Eukaryota; Metazoa; Mollusca; Bivalvia; Myida; Myidae
Exons: 3
Source: RefSeq, a predicted model, not a curated record
GGAGAGCUGACAACAGAGUACGGAACAAUAGUUGAUCAGCAUUGGUCAUUAUAGAACUCGGACGAUCACAAAAUACAAACAUGAAACUUUCUGGAUUGGUUUUAUGUUUUCUCUGUUUGUUUAUAAUUGGUUCUUCUGGCUACAGAAUUCUGCCCGGAGCCGACACAUAUGAACGAGAAGCGAGAAUGAAAACUGUUCAGGACAUUGGUGAGGCCCAGGAUGGGUUUGGGCAGUACCCCCCAGCCCGCAGUGACUUCAUGAAACAGCUCAUAAACUACCUCAACUCUGUUGGGCGCAAGUAAUCUCCCCUGACUACAACACACUACUCCAACCUUCCAAUCAAGACAGGAGGAGGGGAAAAAUGAACUCAAAACACAAUCCUUUAUGACUGGCACAAACAGACUUAUACAUAUUAGACUACCUCUACAUGAGCUCUGUUGUGCAAAAAAAGUCACCCUGAAUAGACACACCAAACUUUUAGAAUUAAGUACAAGACCAACAUUAAUCUACAUG